GAUGUGUGUGUCUGGACCUCUGAGAGAAAAAGAGUUUCUGCUUGCUGGACCUGCUGAAAGGAGGAUUCUGGGGGAUUUGUGCCUGAGGAGGGUGGGGAUAAAAACUGCCUCGAUGAAAUUGGGCAGAGUAACACAGAAACAAGUCCCUGAGCAAAAUAUUACUUAAAAGCAUGCAAACAAAAACUGCAGAGGGGUGAUGCUGGUAGUUGGCUGGAAUGGAGCUCUGGGUUCUAAAGCUUCCUGAGCACUCCCCGCUGGAGCUGCCUGCCUGGAAACACCCCUAUCUUCUUACUGCUCUAAGUGAAGGGAUAAUUCAUCUUUGUGUUUUUUCUUCGUUUUUUUUCCCCUUAAACAUUGCCAACCCUGCAAAUUAAAAAUGGACCCAUGAGUAAUUAGGCUUUUCUUUUUCCUUUGUUAAAUGAGUAAGUGAUGGUGACAGCUGAAAAAUGUGUGUGGUCUUUCUAUCUGAGUCUACAGACCUUGAAGGUCCCCAAGUACAGGAGAAAAUGUUCUGAGAUGCAGAUUUUCUUGGAUUCCCCAUAGAAUAUUUUUCUUUGGAUUUUCAAUUGUCUCUGUCUACACAGGUUAUAAAUCUAGUUCAGUAGAAGCAAGAAAAAUUUUAAUGGAAUUUUUUGUUAAAACUAAUUAAACAUCUGGCUCCCUCAUCACCACAAACAGACAGAAGAGAUUUACUAUAAAAUAAUAGCCAACUUCAAAUUUGAACAAGUGUUUUAGAAACUUGCCUUCACCUUUUUGCUUUAUCAGUUACUGUGUUUUCUGGUUGCUACAGGAAGCUACUGGUAAGACAGGUGUCCUUGCAAAUGGCCUGCAGAACAGACUUUACACCGUUAAGCAUUCAAGGAAUGGAAACUAAUUGAUUAAGACCACUGUCUCCAAGAGUGAUUCUUAUUUCCUUAAUCACGUCUUCAUCAUCCGCAGUUUGCAGAUCGAUCUUGACUUAACACAUCAUAGUUCUGUCAAGAACCACACCAUCUGUUGCGGAAAUGCUGGGAGGCACUUGACAAAUUUGGACCAGACACCUUUAUUUCCCUUUGACAUUUUGAUGUAGGCAAGGCCUAAUUGGAUUUUGCGAGCGAUCGCUGUUCCUGUGG
This 1112-nucleotide long non-coding RNA is filed under the name Cyanistes caeruleus (blue tit). RNAcentral describes it as "lncRNA (ENSCCEG00000011537.1)". The record is from RNAcentral. Lineage: Eukaryota; Metazoa; Chordata; Aves; Passeriformes; Paridae.